AAUCAACGCUGGCGGCGUGCCUAACACAUGCAAGUCGAACGCGAAAGUGGAGCAAUCCAUGAGUAGAGUGGCAAACGGGUGAGUAACACGUGGGUGACCUGCCUUCGAGUGGGGGAUAACGUCCCGAAAGGGACGCUAAUACCGCAUAACAUCCUGUCUUUUAAGAGAUGGACAUCAAAGCUGGGGAUCGCAAGACCUAGCGCUUGAAGAGGGGCCCGCGUCCGAUUAGCUAGUUGGUGGGGUAAUGGCUCACCAAGGCAACGAUCGGUAGCCGGCCUGAGAGGGCGGACGGCCACACUGGGACUGAGACACGGCCCAGACUCCUACGGGAGGCAGCAGUGGGGAAUUGUUCGCAAUGGGCGCAAGCCUGACGACGCAACGCCGCGUGGAGGAUGAAGAUCUUCGGGUCGUAAACUCCUUUCGAUCGAGACGAACGGCCCCUGGGCUAAUCACCAGGGGAGUGACGGUACCGAGAGAAGAAGCCCCGGCUAACUCCGUGCCAGCAGCCGCGGUAAUACGGGGGGGGCAAGCGUUGUUCGGAAUUACUGGGCGUAAAGGGCUCGUAGGUGGCCAACUAAGUCAUACGUGAAAUCCCUCGGCUUAACCGGGGAACUGCGUCUGAUACUGGAUGGCUUGAGUUUGGGAGAGGGAUGCGGAAUUCCAGGUGUAGCGGUGAAAUGCGUAGAUAUCUGGAGGAACACCGGUGGCGAAGGCGGCAUCCUGGACCAACACUGACACUGAGGAGCGAAAGCCAGGGGAGCAAACGGGAUUAGAUACCCCGGUAGUCCUGGCCCUAAACGAUGAAUGCUUGGUGUGGCGGGUAUCGAUCCCUGCCGUGCCGAAGCUAACGCAUUAAGCAUUCCGCCUGGGGAGUACGGUCGCAAGGCUG
RNAcentral lists this ribosomal RNA (889 nucleotides) under uncultured bacterium. RNAcentral's name for it is "bacterial SSU rRNA". It matches the Rfam family "Bacterial small subunit ribosomal RNA", at positions 28 to 896 of the family's 1533-position model. The record is from RNAcentral.